UACACACCGCCCGUCACGCCAUGGAAGCUGCGAGUCGCCCGAAGUCGGUGGCCCGGUAACCCUUACGGGGCCAAGCCGCCGAAGGCAAGCGUAGUGACUGGGGCG
Molecule: ribosomal RNA, 105 nt
Filed under: uncultured bacterium
Lineage: Bacteria
Description: partial 16S ribosomal RNA
Source: RNAcentral